This is a long non-coding RNA of Harmonia axyridis, 785 nucleotides long. RefSeq lists it as uncharacterized. Lineage: Eukaryota; Metazoa; Arthropoda; Insecta; Coleoptera; Coccinellidae. The transcript is spliced from 3 exons. The record is from RefSeq and is a predicted model, not a curated record.
UCCCACUAAGUUUUUAAAGCAAUACUGAAACUUUGCAUGCCCUACCACCCUUUAAAAAUUGAGCUUCAUUCCAAGCAAUUAACAGUGAAACAAGGAAUAUAUGUUGUCGAUGAAUACAACAAUUAACGAAAAAGUCUUCAACAAGUGGAGUGAACUAUAAUGAUAAUGCCAAACAUUUCAUAGAUGAAAUUUUUUUCAGUUCACACAAUUUGACAACAUAUAUUUGCAAUAACACAGAAAUGAUUUCGAAGCUAAAAUAUGGAAUUGAUUGUGGACUCUAAAUUCAGAAAGAAGGAAUAUGAUUUAAUUAUUAAUAGGAAUAGGUAAUAAAAUGUUUCAAACAUAGGCCCAAUGCAAAGAAGAAGAACCAAUAGGUAUCUAAGAAGAGAAAAAUUUAAAAACAAACUUAUUUCCCCAAAAAAAAUUAAUGAUUCACCAAAACAUUGAAUUUGUCAAUUAUAGACAAUUUAGUAUUUUCAAUCAUAAUAUAUACAACACACAAUAUUACUCUAUUCUGCAUUAAAAACCCAAAGGAAAUGUUUUUCGAGAUUUAUGUGUUUCUAAAAAAAUAAAGACACUUUAAUAUGAAAUUCUCAUCUUUCCUCCUAUGACCCUUCAAUCUGAAAUUGUCAUCAUUCUUCCUCUGACCCUUCAAUUGAAAAUAUACAUUCAUUUAAAUUUAUUAUCAAGGCGAAAUGUCAAACCUAUCCUCAUAUGAAACAAGCUAGUAAGCAUAAUACUAUGGAAACGAAAGAACUAAUUGAAGCUUACGAAGAAAAUAUAUA